RNAcentral lists this ribosomal RNA (252 nucleotides) under uncultured bacterium. RNAcentral's name for it is "partial 16S ribosomal RNA". It matches the Rfam family "Bacterial small subunit ribosomal RNA", at positions 525 to 776 of the family's 1533-position model. The record is from RNAcentral.
ACGGAGGGUCCAAGCGUUAUCCGGAUUUAUUGGGUUUAAAGGGUCCGUAGGCGGGUCAUUAAGUCAGUGGUGAAAUCCUACAGCUCAACUGUAGAACUGCCAUUGAAACUGAUGACCUUGAAUAUAAUUGAAGUGGGCGGAAUGUGUCAUGUAGCGGUGAAAUGCUUAGAUAUGACACAGAACACCGAUUGCGAAGGCAGCUCACUAAGUUAUUAUUGACGCUGAGGGACGAAAGCGUGGGUAGCGAACAGG